AAGUCGUAACAAGGUUUCCGUAGGUGAACCUGCGGAAGGAUCAUUAACAAAAUCUCGGCAAACUGCUUCGGCAGCGAGCCAAACACCUUUGUGAAUAGGGCUGUGCAGGGGCGACUCUGUGCAGCUUGUCGGGGUGGGCAAGAAGUGAGGGGAGUGAGUGUGAGUGCCAAGCACAAGCACAAUCCCUCUCUAUCAUCCAUUUUAGCGUCUGAAUUGAAUUAAUGCGGUCGAAAGACUGCAAACUAAACUAAUACAAUACAAUACAACUUUUAACAAUGGAUCUCUUGGCUCUU
Molecule: unclassified non-coding RNA, 293 nt
Filed under: fungal sp.
Lineage: Eukaryota; Fungi
Description: partial internal transcribed spacer region
Rfam family: Eukaryotic small subunit ribosomal RNA (bases 1-46)
Source: RNAcentral